ACGACCUUACUUGAACAGGAUCUGUUCUAUAGGCUCGUACCUCUGUAUCCUUAAGUUCUAAGGAGACAGGAACUGAAGUCUGGUGGAUGAACUAUGAUCCUGUGAUCAGAGCGUGAUUAACGGUAGUGUGAGGCUUUCCUUCUGGACGAGACUCAUCAUCAACUGUAGAGGAUCGUUCCCUGACUCUACAGGCUAGGGAUGGUUGCAGGAUUGUCUGACAGACU
Vigna angularis (adzuki bean) is the source of this 224-nucleotide small nucleolar RNA. It matches the Rfam family "Plant small nucleolar RNA U3". From Rfam's summary of the family: Small nucleolar RNAs (snoRNAs) are involved in the processing and modification of rRNA in the nucleolus. There are two main classes of snoRNAs: the box C/D class, and the box H/ACA class. U3 snoRNA is a member of the box C/D class. NCBI's taxonomy places the organism in Eukaryota, Viridiplantae, Streptophyta, Magnoliopsida, Fabales, Fabaceae. The record is from Rfam.